RNAcentral lists this transfer RNA (73 nucleotides) under Onion yellows phytoplasma OY-M. RNAcentral's name for it is "Lys-tRNA". It matches the Rfam family "tRNA". From Rfam's summary of the family: Transfer RNA (tRNA) molecules are approximately 80 nucleotides in length. Their secondary structure includes four short double-helical elements and three loops (D, anti-codon, and T loops). Lineage: Bacteria; Bacillati; Mycoplasmatota; Mollicutes; Acholeplasmatales; Acholeplasmataceae. The record is from RNAcentral. RNAcentral also lists the same sequence under 1 other name.
GUCCCGUUAGCUCAGCUGGUAGAGCACUUGACUUUUAAUCAAGGUGUCGAAGGUUCGACUCCUUCACGGGAUA